Molecule: long non-coding RNA, 366 nt
Organism: Etheostoma spectabile (orangethroat darter)
Lineage: Eukaryota; Metazoa; Chordata; Actinopteri; Perciformes; Percidae
Exons: 3
Source: RefSeq, a predicted model, not a curated record
GUCCUUAUAUCAAGACUAUUUAGUAACAUCUUUAUAAGAAUGGGUGCUUAUGGAAAUACUAACGUCACUAUGUCAAAGGCAAAGAAGACAGAAACAACCGAGGAACAGGGAGACCCGGGACAGUCAGGUGUUGAGUCUCAGGGAGACCAGGGACAGUCAGGUGUAGAGUCUCAGGUAAGUGUUUUGAGCUUAGUUGAUAUUUUUGGAGGUGUGUGGCCGUCAGGUUUAGCAGAUGAGCUUUACUAUUGGCUCACUAAUUUACAUUAUGAUCAGCUAAUUUAACAAGUGUACAAAAACAUUGUAUUUGUUUUAUAUGGGGACACUUUUUCAAACUAAGUAAUUAUGUUUUAAAGUAUUUUUGUGUCU